AAUCCGAGAGGUGCGGGCAAUCAGCAGGAAAGGCUCACGUUGCGAUUCAGCGUGGGAAUCCUCAGAGACCAUACGCC
This 77-nucleotide ribosomal RNA is filed under the name Nitrospirota bacterium. RNAcentral describes it as "Nitrospirae bacterium partial 23S ribosomal RNA". The record is from RNAcentral. Lineage: Bacteria; Pseudomonadati; Nitrospirota.